Molecule: long non-coding RNA, 695 nt
Filed under: Vulpes vulpes (red fox)
Lineage: Eukaryota; Metazoa; Chordata; Mammalia; Carnivora; Canidae
Description: lncRNA (ENSVVUG00000001260.1)
Source: RNAcentral
GUCACCUAGAAUCUGGCUGUUAACUGUCACCAUUGCUGAGAGUCUCAACAUAGGGCAAAGUGCUCAGGGAAGCUGAAGGCUGAACUUUCAGCCUUUCCACUGACCCCGAAAGCACUUUGGGCUUCUCUGAGGACAAGCCUGCAUCUCAAGGAACUGCAUUAUAUUAUUCUGCGGAGGGAAGUUGGAGACAUCAGAGAUGGGUAGAUAUUCCCUUGCUUAUGCAGGAAGGUUUUUACUUCUAGAACUUUGUCUUUUGUAGAUUUGAUGAAACCCUAAAAAUGCUGCUUGUUAAGUAAGAAACUGCUGCUUUGACUCUUGUAGGGAAAGCACCAGGCAGGCAAAGCCCUCCAGGGAGUAAUGCCACCAAAGGAGAGGAAAAGCUACGUUUCCAAAGGCAAAAAGUAGGCCUGUGACUGGGACAACAGCCUGAAUGCUGAUCUGCAGUACACCUGUGCCAUUUCAAGAGUCUGGAACCAAGUAUCAGUUAUCAGCUUUCCAGUAUCUUUUUAUAAUUUCUCAGACUUCCUAAAGAAAAUAUUACUUGGCUGCCAUUACAUUUAUUUCAUGACUCUGCAGUUUGACAAGCACAGUGACAAAAGGCAACACACAUGAUAAAUUCUCUUAUAAUAACCUGUAAAGUCUUGUUAGUAUUAUUUUUGUAAUGAUAUCUUAUUUAACCACCUGAGAUUUUAAAA